Long non-coding RNA from Anopheles merus, 1018 nucleotides. RefSeq lists it as uncharacterized. The transcript has 3 exons. NCBI's taxonomy places the organism in Eukaryota, Metazoa, Arthropoda, Insecta, Diptera, Culicidae. The record is from RefSeq and is a predicted model, not a curated record.
UCUUACAUUUAAUUGCUCUUGAACUAAAACCGCGUCACAAAAGGGGGCUUAAAGCAAAGCAAAAGCUGGCUGCAACGCUGAAAUUUUUAGCUCAAGGGUCAUACCAGCUAGUUGUUGGUAACGAUUUUACCAUACCUAUGGCGCAAUCAACCUUUUCAGAAGUCUUACAUGAGACUUUGAGAAUAAUGCAAACACAAUUGCUCAAGUAUAUAACGUUGCAAAUGUCUGAAGUGGAAAAAACAGAAGCCAGAAAUUACUUCUACCAAAAAUCUGGAAUCCCUGGUGUUGUAAUGUGCAUCGAUGGAUCUCAUAUUAGAAUUCUGGCCCCUAACGGAGAUCGUGUGCCUUACUAUAAUAGAAAAGGGUGCUAAAGUUUAAACGCGUUGAUGAUAUGCGACAACCGUAAACUUAUCCGAUUCGUCGAUGCAAGGUUCAGUGGCUCCAAUCACGAUUCAUGCAUUUUUAGUAUGAGCCCAGCUUUUAAGUUUUCCGAAAGGAAAUGAAGCGAUGGAGACCUUGCUGAAGAGAUGGAAAUGUUCAAAUUGUUGGGUGACUCUGCUUAUCCUGCGAAGCCAUGGUUGAUAAAGCCCAACAGAAAUGCUGCACCUAAUCCACCUGAGGCAAAAUUCAAUCAGAGACAUGCACAAGCUCGUGCCGUGAUUGAAAACGCAUUUGGUGUUCUGAAAGGAAAGUUCAGAUGCCUCCUUGGAGACAGACUGCUACGAUAUUCUCCAUCCAAAUGCGUGCGGAUCAUUAACGUCUGCUGUGCCCUGCACAAUCUUUGCAUAAUGAAUAACAUGCCAGAAAAUGAUUGUUAGAUAAUCACCACUAUUGGGCUUAGCUAUCACUGAAUUGUUCAUUACCACUAGCAGGAUAGUCAGUCGGGCACGGUUCAUACCAGGCUUGACCCAUGACGGACAUAAAGUUAAAGUUAUGUUUGUGUCUAAUGUUUAUGGGAAAUAAUUUUUUUUUAUCAAGAAUACCUGCAUAGUAUGAAUAUAAAUGAAAAAAAAAAUAC